GUCUUAUCGCAAUGUGAAUUUACACUCAAAAAUAAGAGAAAACAAACGACACAACGUUAUAAUGUAAUACACACAGAAACGAACUAUAUUAUAACAAUGGCCAUAUUCCAGACUUGGUACAGGGCAUUUUUAAAGGAAAAAAUGGUGGGUUGAACCUGGUUUUGUGGCAUGCCAAACCUCGCACUUUUAUGGCCAUGUGAAAUAUAACAUCAAAAUGACAACACAGGACUACAAUAUAAAUAAAUUGGAGAACACAAUUGACAAAGAAUCACACGAACAACAGCCAACAAAAGGCAACAAGUUCAAAAUUUUAAUACGCCAGAAGUGUAUUUUGUCCACACAAGACCUACUUGUGACGCCCAGAUACAAAAGUUUGAAAGCCGAAACGAGUACAAAGUUGAACAGCAUCGAGGAC
RNAcentral lists this long non-coding RNA (415 nucleotides) under Mytilus galloprovincialis (Mediterranean mussel). The record is from RNAcentral. Lineage: Eukaryota; Metazoa; Mollusca; Bivalvia; Mytilida; Mytilidae.